Small nucleolar RNA from Vicia villosa (hairy vetch), 139 nucleotides. RefSeq annotates it as small nucleolar RNA snoR134. Lineage: Eukaryota; Viridiplantae; Streptophyta; Magnoliopsida; Fabales; Fabaceae. The transcript has a single exon. The record is from RefSeq and is a predicted model, not a curated record.
UUGCAUGAUGCAACCCCGGGCUUCUCUGAAAUAUUCAUGAAGUGAAAGCCCCAUUGCUUGUGCUAAAUGAUGCUAUUCGUGUUGCAGAUCAAUUUCAGCAACUCUACUAUUGAUCUGUGUCAAAGUAAUAGCAACAUUG